ACCUCUGGUAUGCCAGUUGUCACGCCAGUGGCAUGGCUGGUUAGCUACGUGCGGGAGGGAUAACCGCUGAAAGCAUCUAAGCGGGAAGCCUGUUUUGAGAUGAGGUUUCUGUUGAGGUUCCCUGUAGAUGAUGGGGUUGAUAGGCCAGGGCUGUGAGCAUGGUGACGUGUUGGAGGUGACUGGUACUAAUACACCGACACAAAAAAACAC
RNAcentral lists this non-coding RNA (210 nucleotides) under Corynebacterium matruchotii ATCC 14266. RNAcentral describes it as "Bacterial large subunit ribosomal RNA". It matches the Rfam family "Bacterial large subunit ribosomal RNA", at positions 2705 to 2925 of the family's 2925-position model. The record is from Rfam by way of RNAcentral. Lineage: Bacteria; Bacillati; Actinomycetota; Actinomycetes; Mycobacteriales; Corynebacteriaceae.